CUUUGGCUAAGGAGGGUAGCAAGCGGAGCAAGUUGGCGUGACAACUAUUUUGUUGUCUCUAUCGGAUAAUAUUUUGACCUUUGUAGACUCGGACAAAAAGAAACUACCUUUAAAAAAAUCCGUAAACCGAACUAUCUUUGACCUAGUUGGCGGGGCUGUGGCCAAUGGUAUGUCUAGCACUACUUUAGCUGGAGCUACACCUCCGCUACCAAACUCGUCAUGUCGAUCUACUUAAUUUGCAUUUGAAUGAACUCCAUUAAACCAAAAAAAAAAAAAAAUUACUUUUCCAGCACAUGAAGAUGUCACGUCGAGUCUAUUGUAAAAAUUUAUAUUUGUCCUUUUACUCUUAAAAGAAUUUAUAUUUACCUUUUGCCAUAUAUAUAUUUUUUUUAUAUAUUUGUCUUUAUCAUUCACCUCUGAUUACAUAUUUAUUAUUUAAUUAUUAAUCUUAUGUCCCUAUUUUUAUUAUUCAACUAGAUGGAAAAGCCCGUGCAAGCAUGGACCCAACAAUAACUGUGAAUUUUAUCAUUUUUAUUACUGGAAGGAAGACACUGCAUAAUAAUAUGUAAAUAAUUUAUAGAAGCAUAACUAAUUUUUAUUUAUGAACUAGUUACAUACAAAAACUAUUAACAUGCAGGUUUGGCACACUAAACUGUGAUUGUUACAUCAAAACACAACAACAACAACAAACCCAGUGUAUUCCCACUUAGUGGGGUCUGGGGGGGGUAAGAUGUACGCAGUCCAUACCUCUACCUCUGAUGAAGUAGAAAGGCUGUUUCCGAAAGACCCCCGGCUCAAGUCACGAGAUAUCACACAACACAUAGUACAGCACAGAAGCAGAUGACAUAACAUAGAUACGGCACCCAUAAGGAAUAUAAAACAGAGUAAAGCAGGAAUGCAGGAAUAUACAGCAAAGGAAAGCACACAUAUUCGUAAUAAACAUGGAACACGGAACACGGAACAUUGAAUACGGAAUCAUAACAGGAAUACACCCCCACCAAUUUAUUCCCUACCCUAGCGACCCGAACUGGCCCUAAUCCUCUGCCGUAAUUCGCAUCUUCCAGACCUUCCUAUCUAGGGUCAUGUCCUCGGUGAGCUGUAACUGUUCCAUGUCCCGCCUAAUCACCUCACCCCAGUACUUCUUCGGUCUACCCCUACCCCGUCUAAAACCAUCCAACGCUAGCCUCUCACACCUACGGACCGGGGCAUCCGUGCCCCUCCUCUUCACGUGUCCGAACCAUCUCAAUCGUGCUUCCCGCAUCUUACACUCCACUGAAGUCACACCAACCUUCUCCCGGAUAGUCUCAUUCCGAACUCUAUCCCCUCGGGUCAGUCCACACAUCCAGCGCAACAUCCGCAUUUCUGCCACCUUCAUUUUUUGGAUGUGGGAGUUCUUAACUGGCCAACACUCCGCUCCAUACAGCAAGGCCGGACGGACUACCACCCUAUAGAAUUUGCCUUUAAGCUUGGGCGGCACCUUCUUAUCACACAGCACCCCCGAUGCGAGUUUCCACUUCAUCCAUCCCGCCCCAAUACGGUGCGAGACAUCCUCGUCAAUCUCACCGUUACUCUGGAUCACGGACCCGAGAUACUUGAACUUAUCCCUCUUCCCUACCUCCUGUGCUUCUAGCCUCACUACUACCUCAUUCUCCCGCCUCACGUCAUUAAACUUACAUUCCACAUACUCUGUCUUGGUUCUGCUCACCCUGAACCCUUUAGACUCCAGAGUUUGCCUCCACAACUCUAAUUUGUCAUUCACACCCCCUCGAGUCUCAUCUAUCAGGACUACAUCGUCUGCAAAAAGCAUACACCACGGCACCUCCCCUUGGAUACGCCGCGUCAACACAUCCAUUACUAACGCAAACAAAAAGGGACUAAGAGUAGAUCCCUGAUGCAAUCCUGUCAGGACAGUGAAAUGCUCUGAGUCUCCUCCCGCCGUCCUCACCUGGGUUUUCGCUCCCUCAUACAUAUCCUUAAUUACUCUGAUAUAUGCCUGCGGUACUCCACUCACCUCCAAGCAUCUCCAAAGCACUUCCCUGGGGACUUUGUCGUACGCCUUUUCCAGGUCGAUGAACACCAUGUGCAGAUCCUUCUUCCUCUCCCUAUACUGCUCCACCAACCUCCGUACCAGGUGGAUUGCCUCCGUCGUCGAGCGGCCGGGCAUAAAUCCGAACUGAUUUUCCGAGAUAGACACUAUCCGUCUCAGCCUCACCUCGACCACUCUCUCCCAGAUCUUCAUAGAGUGACUCAGUAACUUAAUCCCCCUAUAGUUAUUGCAACACUGAAUGUCCCCCUUAUUCUUAUAGAGGGGGAUCAUGGUACUCCACCUCCACGCCUCGGGCAUCUUUGCCGUCCUGAAAAUUUCAUUGAACAAAGCAGUCAACCACCUUACACCAGCCUCUCCAACGAACUUCCAAAACUCCACCGGUAUCUCAUCCGGCCCCGUCGCCCUACCCCUUCGCAUCCUGCGGACUGCCUGUCUAACCUCGUCUACAUCAAAACACAAAAAAUUUAUUUAUGUAGCCAACUAUAUAAUGCUGGUAUAGACAAGCUAAAUUCAUCUGUACAAGCUAUAUCAUGUGAUGAAGCUGGUAGAGGCUACCAAAAUGUAGUUGUACAUGCUAUACCGCCUAUGCGAGU
RNAcentral lists this long non-coding RNA (2640 nucleotides) under Capsicum annuum. RNAcentral's name for it is "long non-coding RNA (CANN_LNC011591)". Lineage: Eukaryota; Viridiplantae; Streptophyta; Magnoliopsida; Solanales; Solanaceae. The record is from RNAcentral.